GACGAAGGGGGCUAGCGUUGUUCGGAAUUACUGGGCGUAAAGCGCGUGUAGGCGGUUUGCCAAGUCGGGUGUGGAAGCCUUGAGCUCAACUCAAGAAAUGCACUCGGUACUGGCAGACUAGAGGACCGGAGAGGAUAGUGGAAUUCCCAGUGUAGUGGUGAAAUACGUAGAGAUUGGGAAGAACACCAGUGGCGAAGGCGGCUAUCUGGACGGUUUCUGACGCUAAGACGCGAAAGCGUGGGGAGCAAACAGU
RNAcentral lists this ribosomal RNA (253 nucleotides) under uncultured bacterium. RNAcentral's name for it is "partial 16S ribosomal RNA". It matches the Rfam family "Bacterial small subunit ribosomal RNA", at positions 524 to 776 of the family's 1533-position model. The record is from RNAcentral.